CCUACGGGAGGCAGCAGUGGGGAAUAUUGCGCAAUGGGGGAAACCCUGACGCAGCAACGCCGCGUGAGUGAGGAAGGACUUCGGUCUGUAAAGCUCUGUUAAUGUGGAAAAAAUGGUAGUUGGUCUAAUAGGCCGAUUAUUUGAUGGUACACAUAGAGGAAGCACCGGCUAACUUCGUGCCAGCAGCCGCGGUAAUACGAAGGGUGCAAGCGUUGUUCGGAUUUAUUGGGCGUAAAGCGCGCGUAGGCGGACCUGCAAGUCAGAUGUGAAAUCUCGGGGCUCAACCUCGAAACUGCGUCUGAAACUACAGGUCUAGAAUCUUGGAGGGGGAAGGGGAAUUUCUCAUGUAGGGGUAAAAUCCGUAGAUAUGAGAAGGAACACCAGAGGCGAAGGCGCCUUCCUGGACAAGUAUUGACGCUGAGGCGCGAAAGCGUGGGGAUCAAACAGGAUUAGAUACCCUGGUAGUCCACGCUGUAAACGAUGAAUACUAGAUAUUGCAGGAUUUGACCCCAGCAGUGUCGUAGCUAACGCGUUAAGAUUCCGCCUGGGAAGUAACGGUGCAAGCUAAAACUUCAAAUGAAUUGACGG
This 588-nucleotide ribosomal RNA is filed under the name uncultured bacterium. RNAcentral describes it as "bacterial SSU rRNA". It matches the Rfam family "Bacterial small subunit ribosomal RNA", at positions 338 to 916 of the family's 1533-position model. The record is from RNAcentral.